ACCUCAGGUGAUCCACCCGCCUCAGCCUCCCAGAGUGCUGGGAUUAUAGGCGUGAGCCACCGCGCCCGGCCUUGGGACAGGUCUUUAAAGGAAGGAAACCCCCUGUGCCUAGAAAGGGGUGGGGACCAUCUGAUAACUGUGUCACCUUUACACUCAAGGUGACUAUACCUCCCACUAGCACAAGUGGUGUAAGGUCAGAGCAGAAAUCAGGCCCUUGAGGGCCACCCCCACGGGCCUGAUUUGGCCCCCCAACCGCCUGUGGGCAUAAGGCUUUGUAGAAAGGCAGCACAAGAAACAGCCACAUCUUGCUGUGGGCUGAGGUCACCAGAGGUCCCUGCUCCAGCCUACCCUACAGUGCCUGAAACCGUCACCAUGAGUGUGCUUUCCUUUGGAUUUAGAGAUCCUAUCUCCCUCCCGGAGAGGUUUUUUUUUUUUUUAAUGCAAAUUUCUCUUGAAUAAAAGCCCAUUAAACUAGUCAGCCAUUAAUAGCUCAGUAUGAAUUAAUCUAGUAGAGAUAAACUGGGGGGCAGACAGCAACACCCGGAAGUAGGGAGCCCCCAGACAGUGACAUUUGUACAAAUGCAAAUUUCAGUGGGAUAAAACCUAUUAAACUAGUCAGCCAUUAAUAUCUUAGUAUGAAUUAAUCUAGCAGAGUUAAAUGGGGAGGCAGACAGCAAGAACCAGAAGGAGGGAACUCCCAUUUUGCGAUGUCUCAGGUGGGAAAACGGAUGGAAGAAAAGGUGGUCUGGAUGUUGGGUCACCAGGGACAGCUAGAGGGCACACGGUGAAAAUUUACAGAAGCACAGAAUACUAGGGCCAUGAGGGGACCUAGUGACCACCUCGUCUACCACUCCUGGUUUAUAACUGAGGAUCUGAAGCCUCAGGGGUGUUAAGUGGCCAGUCACACCCUACCUGGCUCAGUGGUUACACAGAUAGGUUUUUUCCUGUGGUCAUGUUUUGUGUGGGGCCGGCUCUCCUCCUCAUUACUAGCCUCAGACUUCUGAUCCUACAGGUCCCUUCAGAGCCGUGAAGGCGGGCAUCCUGUGACACAGCUGACACAGCAUGGAGCCUUCAUCUCCUAUGUGCGUUUCUUAGGUCACUCUGAGGGGUGGGGCCACAAGCUACCACCUACAGAAUUGAUACCUUUAGUUCAAAGCCAUUGACCAACCCAGGUUCAUGAAUUUUCAGGCAGAAGGUACCAAGACAACCCCAUUAGGCAACUAGGAAGACAGGCCAGGAAAGGCCUACGAUGUCGUCAUUACAGCUGCCACCGUCAGAGGGUUCAUUAUGUGCUCAGAGGUGCACAGGGCCUCACUGGCUGCUGGACAGAACAGGGGCUGCUCCCAGGACCAGGCAGGGUGGGGCUGGAAACCAACCCAAGGCUCUCAAAGCUCCAGGGCUGAGCCAUGGCAUCUCUGUGCCCUGUUCCCCACCACCCAACACCGAGCAGUUCCUCAAAUGGCUGAAAGCUCAGAAAAUCAGUUUUAAAACAAACUAUUGGAGGAUGUUUUCUUAUACCACUAGACAUUUUUUUUGUUUAACAAUCGCAAUAGAUUAAAUUUAAAAAAAUAUUUAGGAGAACAUAGUUCCAGAAUACAGGGAAAAAUAAGAACCUAUGGGAAAACAAGUUGAUUUCUGAAAAGUUUCAAAACUAUGAAAUGACCAACCUGUUAGAAUUGGUCAAGUAGUUCUUUAAUUUGCAACUAUGUGGCCAGGACAAGAGGGAUUAGGGAAGAGAAUAAAAGAGAACCAUGGGAACAAUCUUUCACAACUCCUUUUUGGUCCCCUGAAUCUAAGUUCCCUGGUUGAUGGCGGUAAAAACCCAAGCUCAAAGGACCUGUAGUCUCCCAGGGAUCUGGACAAGCCACAGCGGGGAUCUGAUAUCUUUGAGAGAGCCCAGAGCUGAGCUAGGGGAUUUUAGAUCUCUCCAGAAACCGUACUCCUGGUGUGAUAAGCACUAUUUUCUGAAACCUAAAUAAUCCCCCGGAGGCUUUUAGCUUCUUUGAGUUUAGGUCUCAGGUCAGAGGCCACAAGUACAGCAGCGGGCUGUGAGUAAGUUGUACAGGUUCACCUGGCUGUUUAUCUUUCUCUCCAACAAUGGGAAGUUUAUAAUGGCUCAGGUACCAGAUUGGGGCCGAAAGGAAGACAUCCUACAAGCCAAAUGCUUCCCUGACCUUGGAAAUGCUUUGAAAAAGCUCUGAAUUCAUUAUAUAGAAUAUUAAGCUUGGAAACUUUAAAGGGUACCCCUUGGGCAGAAAAAAGUAAACACACAUUCCUAGAGACCUAGGCAAAGCGUAGGGUUCCCCCACGACUGAGGAAGGCUAAUCCUGAAAAUAACUUCUACUGAGAGUUGAGGAAGUGGCGGCUGGCGUGGGGACGGGAGGCAAGACAUUGAUAAAGGCAGAGUUGACAUAAACGGACAUGCGGGGGCGUCGGGCGGGGGUGGGUGCUGUAGGCAACAGGUCUCCCCACCAAAGCGGAACCCAGCACCCACCUUCAGCAGACUACGAAAUGCCGACCAAGUCACAAGGCCACAGUGAGCACGGUAGAAAGCAAUGGUGAAAGGCAGUUUUCCUCGAAUGAGAGCAUCAGACAGGCAUGCCCGGGACCAGCUGUGGGAAUCCUGAGAGACAGACAUGAAGCACUUCACUUGGAAAUGCUUUCUUAGUCUUUCAAUUUAACAUUCAAAGGGAUGAGGGAUUUUUAUCAACAGCAGCCAGCUGCAAUGCAAAGUCAUGCUUUCUAGUCUCAGUUCAAAUGGACAUUUCCCUUAUUUUAGCCGUGCAUAUCACAGUCUCCAUUUUCAAGCCAAUUCUGGUUUAAAGGUGACCCUGCUCUUAAAAAUCAUUAAAUAAUAAGUGGUCUCACUCUAA
Molecule: long non-coding RNA, 2873 nt
Filed under: Homo sapiens (human)
Lineage: Eukaryota; Metazoa; Chordata; Mammalia; Primates; Hominidae
Description: HSALNT0332622
Source: RNAcentral